GACGAACGCUGGCGGCGUGCUUAACACAUGCAAGUCGAACGGAAAGGCCCCUUUGGGGGUACUCGAGUGGUGAACGGGGGAGUAACACGUGAGUAACCUGCCCUUGACUUCGGGAUAACUUCAGGAAACUGGGGCUAAUACUGGAUAGGAAUCCUUGCUGCAUGGGGGGGGUUGGAAAGCUUCGGCGGGUUUGGAUGGACUUGCGGGGUAUCAGCUUGUUGGUGGGGUUGUGGCUUACCAAGGCUUCGACGGGUGGCCGGCCUGAGUGGGCGACCGGCCACAUUGGGACUGAGAUACGGCCCAGACACCUACGGGAGGCAGCAGUGGGGAAUCUUGCACAAUGGGCGGAAGCCUGAUGCAGCAACGCCGCGUGCGGGAUGACGGCCUUCGGGUUGAAAACCGCUUUCAGCAGGAGCGAAGCUUGUGGUGACGGUACCUGCAGAAGAAGCACCGGCUAACUACGUG
Molecule: ribosomal RNA, 465 nt
Filed under: uncultured bacterium
Lineage: Bacteria
Description: partial 16S ribosomal RNA
Rfam family: Bacterial small subunit ribosomal RNA
Source: RNAcentral